This 1120-nucleotide ribosomal RNA is filed under the name Staphylococcus aureus DAR5873. RNAcentral describes it as "bacterial SSU rRNA". It matches the Rfam family "Bacterial small subunit ribosomal RNA", at positions 8 to 1107 of the family's 1533-position model. The record is from RNAcentral. Lineage: Bacteria; Bacillati; Bacillota; Bacilli; Caryophanales; Staphylococcaceae.
AGAGUUUGAUCCUGGCUCAGGAUGAACGCUGGCGGCGUGCCUAAUACAUGCAAGUCGAGCGAACGGACGAGAAGCUUGCUUCUCUGAUGUUAGCGGCGGACGGGUGAGUAACACGUGGAUAACCUACCUAUAAGACUGGGAUAACUUCGGGAAACCGGAGCUAAUACCGGAUAAUAUUUUGAACCGCAUGGUUCAAAAGUGAAAGACGGUCUUGCUGUCACUUAUAGAUGGAUCCGCGCUGCAUUAGCUAGUUGGUAAGGUAACGGCUUACCAAGGCAACGAUGCAUAGCCGACCUGAGAGGGUGAUCGGCCACACUGGAACUGAGACACGGUCCAGACUCCUACGGGAGGCAGCAGUAGGGAAUCUUCCGCAAUGGGCGAAAGCCUGACGGAGCAACGCCGCGUGAGUGAUGAAGGUCUUCGGAUCGUAAAACUCUGUUAUUAGGGAAGAACAUAUGUGUAAGUAACUGUGCACAUCUUGACGGUACCUAAUCAGAAAGCCACGGCUAACUACGUGCCAGCAGCCGCGGUAAUACGUAGGUGGCAAGCGUUAUCCGGAAUUAUUGGGCGUAAAGCGCGCGUAGGCGGUUUUUUAAGUCUGAUGUGAAAGCCCACGGCUCAACCGUGGAGGGUCAUUGGAAACUGGAAAACUUGAGUGCAGAAGAGGAAAGUGGAAUUCCAUGUGUAGCGGUGAAAUGCGCAGAGAUAUGGAGGAACACCAGUGGCGAAGGCGACUUUCUGGUCUGUAACUGACGCUGAUGUGCGAAAGCGUGGGGAUCAAACAGGAUUAGAUACCCUGGUAGUCCACGCCGUAAACGAUGAGUGCUAAGUGUUAGGGGGUUUCCGCCCCUUAGUGCUGCAGCUAACGCAUUAAGCACUCCGCCUGGGGAGUACGACCGCAAGGUUGAAACUCAAAGGAAUUGACGGGGACCCGCACAAGCGGUGGAGCAUGUGGUUUAAUUCGAAGCAACGCGAAGAACCUUACCAAAUCUUGACAUCCUUUGACAACUCUAGAGAUAGAGCCUUCCCCUUCGGGGGACAAAGUGACAGGUGGUGCAUGGUUGUCGUCAGCUCGUGUCGUGAGAUGUUGGGUUAAGUCCCGCAACGAGCGCAACCCUUA